This 487-nucleotide ribosomal RNA is filed under the name Bacillus pumilus. RNAcentral's name for it is "bacterial SSU rRNA". It matches the Rfam family "Bacterial small subunit ribosomal RNA", at positions 97 to 570 of the family's 1533-position model. Lineage: Bacteria; Bacillati; Bacillota; Bacilli; Caryophanales; Bacillaceae. The record is from RNAcentral.
GGCGGACGGGUGAGUAACACGUGGGUAACCUGCCUGUAAGACUGGGAUAACUCCGGGAAACCGGAGCUAAUACCGGAUAGUUCCUUGAACCGCAUGGUUCAAGGAUGAAAGACGGUUUCGGCUGUCACUUACAGAUGGACCCGCGGCGCAUUAGCUAGUUGGUGAGGUAACGGCUCACCAAGGCGACGAUGCGUAGCCGACCUGAGAGGGUGAUCGGCCACACUGGGACUGAGACACGGCCCAGACUCCUACGGGAGGCAGCAGUAGGGAAUCUUCCGCAAUGGACGAAAGUCUGACGGAGCAACGCCGCGUGAGUGAUGAAGGUUUUCGGAUCGUAAAGCUCUGUUGUUAGGGAAGAACAAGUGCAAGAGUAACUGCUUGCACCUUGACGGUACCUAACCAGAAAGCCACGGCUAACUACGUGCCAGCAGCCGCGGUAAUACGUAGGUGGCAAGCGUUGUCCGGAAUUAUUGGGCGUAAAGGGCUC